AAGGAUCAUUAUUGAAAUUAUAGGUGAGGGUUGUAGCUGGCCUCUCGGGGGCAUGUGCACGCCCGAGCCCUUAAUCCACACACACCUGUGAACCUAUUGUAAGGGCCCUUAAAAAAGGCCUUUACGUCUUAUCAUCAACCCAUCGUAUGUCCCAUAGAAUGUAAAUAUAUGUCCUCGCCUUAAAAAGCGUUGAUAAACUUAUACAACUUUCAACAACGGAUCUCUUGGCUCUCGCAUCGAUGAAGAACGCAGCGAAAUGCGAUAAGUAAUGUGAAUUGCAGAUUUUCAGUGAAUCAUCGAAUCUUUGAACGCACCUUGCGCUCCUUGGUAUUCCGAGGAGCAUGCCUGUUUGAGUGUCAUUAAAUUCUCAACUCUGAUCGAUUUGUUUCGACUUCGGAGCUUGGAUUUGGAGCGUGCUGGCGUCGGUCGGCUCCUCUUAAAUGCAUCAGCGGAAUCUAACGUUUCGGACGUCAGUGUGAUAAUCAUGUUGCGCUGUCUGUCUGACCUGAAAGCCCGCUCACAAUGGUCUUCGGACAACUUCAUAUCAAAUUUGACCUCAAAUCAGGUAGGACUACCCGCUGAACUUAA
RNAcentral lists this ribosomal RNA (588 nucleotides) under uncultured fungus. Its description in RNAcentral is "eukaryotic LSU rRNA". The stretch from base 205 to 359 matches the Rfam family "5.8S ribosomal RNA". Lineage: Eukaryota; Fungi. The record is from RNAcentral.